The sequence is a transfer RNA, 76 nucleotides long. It matches the Rfam family "tRNA". From Rfam's summary of the family: Transfer RNA (tRNA) molecules are approximately 80 nucleotides in length. Their secondary structure includes four short double-helical elements and three loops (D, anti-codon, and T loops).
GUCCCCUUCGUCUAGAGGCCUAGUACAUCGCCCUUUCACGGCGGCAACAGGGGUCCGAAUCCCCUAGGGGACGCAA